This is a long non-coding RNA of Perca fluviatilis (European perch), 256 nucleotides long. RefSeq lists it as uncharacterized. The transcript is spliced from 3 exons. NCBI's taxonomy places the organism in Eukaryota, Metazoa, Chordata, Actinopteri, Perciformes, Percidae. The record is from RefSeq and is a predicted model, not a curated record.
CUACGGCGGAAUCAAGCUAUUUCAGGAAAUGGGCCGGCUUCAUGAUGAAAUGAAUAUCUGCCGAAGAUUCGAAGAUGGCUUUAAGGUCCUAGUACCCACAGUGCUUAGAUUGACUCAAAGGAAAUCUCCCCUUGCAGAUCUGGCUUUGGAGGAAAGAGAGGCUGCCCUCACCGAAGAUGUCCCUGGGAUUGAUUUCAGAGCUGCAAUCCUGCUGUUGCCGAUCCUGUUCAGGGAGAAAAAUGACAUUCUCGUCAUA